AUUGAACGCUGGCGGCAGGCCUAACACAUGCAAGUCGAACGGUAACAGGGAUCAGCUUGCUGAUUCGCUUUCGAGUGGCGGACGUGUGUGUAAUGUCUGGGACCCUGCUUUAUGGAUGGGGAUACCUACUGGAAACGGUAGCUAAUCCCGCAUAACGUCUCAAGCCCAUAGAUGGGUACCUUCGGGCCUCUUUCCUUCGGAUUUUCCCAGAUUGGAUUAGCUAGUAGGUGGGGUAACGGCUCACCUAGGCGACGAUCCGUAGCUGGUCUGAGAGGAUGACCAGCCACACUGGAACUGAGACACGGUCCAGACUCCUACGGGAGGCAGCAGUAGGGAAUAUUGCACAAAGGGCGAAAGCCUGAUGGAGCAAUGCCGCGUGUAUGAAGAAGGUCUUCGGGUUGUAAAGCACUUUUAGCGGGGAGGAAGGGAGUAAAGAUAAUACCUGCACGCAUUGACGUUACCCGCAGAAGAAGCACCGGCUAACUCCGUG
Molecule: ribosomal RNA, 490 nt
Filed under: uncultured bacterium
Lineage: Bacteria
Description: partial 16S ribosomal RNA
Rfam family: Bacterial small subunit ribosomal RNA
Source: RNAcentral